ACUGCAGUCAAUAAUCAUAGAUAUCUUGAUUUCUCGAGUCGCACACGCAUCCGACCUCUACAGGUAUCUACACGAGGCCCUUGAUCUGAUCAGAGGCUCCUUGAUCUCCCCAGGAUGCUAGCUACUUUGCAGAGAUCUGCUCCUGAUGGUUGAUUGAAGAUCUUCUUCAGAUCUCUAGACCCUCUCAAAGAAGAAGAAGAUUUUGGAGGAAGAAGAGGUGGAGGAAGAAGAAGAAACUCCUUUUCUCUCUCUCCUUAAGACCCCACGCUUAAGAUGAAAACCCUAGGAGCCUUCAUGCCCAAAACCCCAUGCCUAAGGAUGUCUCACGCCCCUUCUCUCAAUUCUCACCAUAAAAAUCUGAAUACAUGCCCCAAGGAAAGGUCCUUUUUAUAAAUGCCGUCCAAGAGAGUUUGGGUGAAAUCAAACUCCUUCAAGAUAAGGAUUGAAUUCAUCUUUGAAUCCAAUUCUUAUCCCUAUCCAAUUGGCAUUGAGAAGACGGGUGACAUCAGCUUUUGGUGUGGAGAAAUCUCACACAAAAACCUAAAAUGGCAUGAGGAAUAUUGGCAUGGAGAUGGGGUUGGUGCAAGGAAAGAGAGUCCCAGUCCAACUAGGCCUCUUAGUGUUUCAAUUUGGUUCCAAUCCAAAUCUGAUUUGGUUGCACCCAAAGAGAGGAGAGAACAUAAUCUAAUUAGGAACACAAUCUCUCCAAUAAGAUCCUAAUCCAAUUAGGAAUUAAUUGAACCUGAAUUCUAAUCAAAUCAAAAAUUGGUCUUUCUUGCAAUUGGGUUAUUUCAUAACUCA
This 801-nucleotide long non-coding RNA is filed under the name Elaeis guineensis (African oil palm). RNAcentral's name for it is "long non-coding RNA (EGUI_LNC039869)". The record is from RNAcentral. Lineage: Eukaryota; Viridiplantae; Streptophyta; Magnoliopsida; Arecales; Arecaceae.